Molecule: non-coding RNA, 1051 nt
Organism: Camelina sativa (false flax)
Lineage: Eukaryota; Viridiplantae; Streptophyta; Magnoliopsida; Brassicales; Brassicaceae
Source: RefSeq, a predicted model, not a curated record
AUUUUCUUCUUUCUUUCUUUCCUGAUCUUCUCUCUCUUGAUCUAAAAGGCGAAUCAAAGUCGAUUCAUCUGAAAACUGGAAAAUGAAUUGAUUCUUUGUUAUCGUCAUCUGGAUAGUCACAGAGGAACCCCAAAACCUAAAAAAUAGCUCUAAAGAGAGAGAUGGAAGGCAAAGAAGAAGAUGUUAGAGUCGGAGCAAACAAGUUUCCGGAGAGGCAACCGAUCGGAACAUCAGCUCAGAAUGACAAGGACUACAAGGAGCCACCACCUGCGCCCUUGUUCAAGCCAGGCGAGCUAGCUUCGUGGUCUUUCUGGAGAGCUGAAAUCGAUUGGCUCUUUUUUAGGUUUUGGGCUGGAGAGAUGGUCACUGCCUCACUGGCCUGGAGAAAUCACCGGACCUCCCUUCUUACUUCCUCCUUUGGUAUGUUUCUUCUUCUUCGUUUGUCCUUUGGUAAGCUUUUGGGACCAUAUCCUCCUAACUUUAAAUGAUAGAAAGGUUGAACGUUUACCUGUUACAAUCAGCUUUGAUUUUUUUUUUGUAUGUAGAUGAUUGGAAUCGAUUAUUGGUUUGGAACUUGCAGUUGCAGGUUAAAAUUGCAGGGAAUGUUUAGAGGGAUGUAGUAGAAUCACCCAAAGAUCCGUGGGAACAUGUGGUGGGUAUGGGACUUGGUGCUGUGUUCGCCAACCAGCUCGUCAAAUGGGAUGUGAAGCUUAAGGAAGAUCUCGAUGUGAUGCUCGCUAAGGCUAGAGCUGCCAAUGAGCGCCGUUACUUUGAUGAAGAUCGGGAUUAGUUAUUGGGUGACCUUUGAAGUCUUCAGAAAUCAAAAUAUCUUUCUCUGAAGUCAUCUUAAGUGCUUGUUCUGUUUGUUCUUCCCUGUUAAAGCUUCUCAUCUCCUUGUCUUUAGAGUUGAGAUCUCUUUUGCUUCGGCACUGGAGUGCUUUUUCAUUCAAUGUUUUUGAUUAUGAACCUAAAGAUUUGUGUUUUCACAAUCUGAGUCUGUUUGUACCUGGUUAAUAAUGGUGAAUGAUAAACCUUGCAAUCAUUUUAUCUU